Molecule: long non-coding RNA, 4695 nt
Filed under: Daucus carota (carrot)
Lineage: Eukaryota; Viridiplantae; Streptophyta; Magnoliopsida; Apiales; Apiaceae
Description: long non-coding RNA (DCAR_LNC004432)
Source: RNAcentral
UCUUCACUAUCCUAGUUAUCAUGAAUCCAUAAAUUCAAGUGAUCAACACUACACCACAAACUCAUUAAACACUGAAGUAACAACAUAGAAAUAUUGAGAUCUCUGCAAGGGACCAGCCCAAAACUUAUGCUAGGAGGCCCAAACCCGAUAAGGGCAAGAAUGUAAUUGACUAAUCUAAAGAAGGAGCUGGAUAAUAGAGGAGGAAUUAGGGAUAUGUUUUUUUAUGUCUUUUGUGUAAUGAAACUCUAGGGCUUGGGGGAGAUUGCUAAAGGGCAAUACAUUAAUGGGUUACAGGAAGAAAUCAAGUCGGAAAUUCGACUACUGGGACCAGUCAGUUUAGACCAGGCCAUGGACCUCUCCAUUAAAGUAGAGGAUAAGUUGCGUGCAACGCAGAGCCGUUCUGGCAAAGGGAAUGGGUCCAGUUUUAAGGCCUCGUCAUCUAUCUACUCAGGUACAUUGUUUAUCCCUCCUAAGUCACCUUCUAGUUUAUAUAGUCCAUCGUCGCGCUCACUUUCUGUGCAGUCCCAAUCUGCCACUUCACCCUCUAGUGGGUUUCCUAAGGACUCAACUAGAUUGCCGGUAGCCAAACCAUUUGGGGAGGUGCGCCGGCUCACGGAUAAAGAGCUCCAGUUAAAAAGACAAAAGGGAGAAUGCUUUCGUUGUGAUGAGAAGUGGGCGGUUGGGCACAAAUGUAAAAAAAAGGAACUCAGUGUCAUUUUACUACAAGAGGAUGGAGAGGAGGAGGAGGAGUCUCCACGGUUUGAUUCUGAGGGUUUCGUAGUUGAGGCAGAAGAUGGGCAAGGCAGUGAACAUUCGGUGAUAUCCCUCAAUUCGGUUGUAGGCCUGACCACUCCUCAAACCAUGAAGUUACGGGGCACGAUGUCGGGAACGGAGGUGGUAGUGUUGAUUGAUCCAGGGGCCUCCCAUAACUUCAUCUCCAUUGAUGCAGUGAAUAAGUUGGGUAUUCCGAUCACGUCGACUAAAGCAUUUGGGGUGACAUUGGGUACGGGCGAGGCGGUGCAAGGGCAAGGUGAGUGCAAGCAAGUGGUUCUGGAACUCCCAAACCUCACUGUGGUGGAGGAUUAUCUGCCUCUACACCUCAGAAGUUCUGAUGUGAUUUUGGGGAUACAGUGGUUGGAGAAAUUAGGUACCAUGACAGCUAAUUGGAAGACGCAGACACUGGUAUGCUCUGUGAAUGGCCAGAAAGUAAAGAUACAAGGGGAACCAUCGCUUAGUCGCACACAGAUCUCGCUGAAAGCAAUGUUACGUACGCUACGAAAAGAGCGUAAUGGAUACUUGGUGGAGCUUAAUCAUAUGGGGGUGCAGGGUACAGUUGAGUUGAAGGAGGCAGAAAGAGUGGCGAGUCCUGAUUUCCUACAACCAGUGUUGCAGAAGUAUGCUCGAGUGUUCGACAUGCCCAAAGGCCUUCCACCUUCUAGAGGGUCUGAGCACAAAAUUAUACUCAAGGAGGGAACGAAUCCAGUCAGUGUUCGGCCUUACAGAUAUCCGCAAGUGCAAAAGGACGAGAUCGAAUCUUUGGUUCGAGAUAUGCUCGCUGCUGGAAUUAUUCAGGUGUCACACAGCCCGUUUUCCAGCCCAGUCCUUGUCAAGAAGAAAGACGGAUCCUGGCGCUUCUGUGUUGACUACCGCGCCUUGAACAAAGUCACUAUUGCGGAUAAAUACCCCAUUCCAGUCAUCGACGAGCUGCUUAACGAGCUUCAUGGCUCCAGAUUUUUUACCAAGCUUGACCUCAAGUCCGGGUACCACCAGAUCAGAGUAAGGGCGGAAGAUGUGCCCAAAACAGCAUUCCGGACACACGAAGGACACUACGAAUUCCUCGUAAUGCCUUUCGGGCUAACCAAUGCGCCGGCUACAUUUCAAGCAUUGAUGAACACGAUUUUCAAGCCGUUCCUUCGGAAGUUUGUCUUGGUUUUCUUUGACGACAUCCUCGUCUACAGCCCGACACCUGAUUUGCAUGUCCAGCAAGUAGAAACUGUGCUCCGAUUGUUGGCAGAAAAUCAGUUAUAUGCUAAUGCCAAAAAGUGUGAUUUUGGCAGAACCGAGCUUUCCUACCUGGGUCACAGAAUAUCGAGUGAAGGGGUGUCGGUUGACAGCAGUAAAAUUCAGGCGAUGCAAGAUUGGGCCAUUCCCAGAUCGAUUAAAGAACUUAGAGGCUUUCUGGGCCUCACGGGCUACUACCGCAAGUUCAUCGCGGGGUAUGCUAUGAUUGCACAACCCCUCACGGAACAACUGAAGAAGGAUCAAUUCUGUUGGGGGUCUGAGGCGACUGAGGCAUUUAACAGAUUAAAGUUGGCCAUGAUGAGUACUCCGGUGUUGGCCAUGCCAGACUUCAAUAAAUCAUUUGUGCUAGAAACGGAUGCUUCGGGUGUUGGGGUGGGAGCAGUAUUACUUCAAGAAGGGCAUCCUAUAUCCUACUUCAGUAAACUAUUAGGCCCUCGAGCUCAGUUAAAGGCCAUUUAUGAAAAAGAGUUAAUGGCGAUAGUCUUGGCUGUUUUGAAGUGGCGGCAUUAUCUUUUGGGGCGUCAUUUCCUCAUCCGCACAGACCAGCAGAGUCUCAAAUUUAUCAUGGAACAACGGGAAAUCAACCCGGCCUACCAGAAAUGGGUGAGCAAACUACUGGGCUACAACUUUGAGAUUCAAUACCGGGCUGGUCGAACAAAUGUCGUAGCCGACGCCUUGUCCAGAAAAAAUCACGAACAGGCAGAGUUGGGGGAGUUGCUAGCAUCCAGUGGGGUGCAUUGGAGCAAGUUCGAACAGGUCCUCAAGAGUGACCCUUUUAUUCUGAAACUCAGCCAGGAUUUGACAAACGGGCAGUCAGCUCCGAAAGGGUAUUAUAUGGAUCAAGGGGUACUGAAGUACAAAGGCCGUUUAGUGAUCCCUAAUAGGCCAGAAUUGGUGCAACCUCUAUUGAUGGAAUACCAUGACUCACCGCUGGGGGGCCACUCCGGCAGCCUCAAGACUUAUAAGAGGCUUGCAGCAGAAUGGUUUUGGCCGGGGAUGCGUCAAUCCAUCACACAGUAUGUUCUGGCCUGUUCAGUUUGUCAACAACAGAAGCAUUCAACCCUUAGCCCAGCUGGAUUACUUCAGCCACUGCCGAUACCAAAUCGAGUAUGGGAAGACAUUUCCCUCGACUUUAUUGAGGGCCUUCCGAAAUCUGAAGGUUUUGACUCGGUGUUAGUGGUCGUUGAUCGACUCACUAAAUACGCUCAUUUUCUGACUCUUCACCACCCGUUCACAGCCCUCACAGUAGCAGACAAGUUUGUGAAAGAGAUAGUACGCCUGCACGGGUUUCCUUCGUCGAUAGUGUCUGAUCGGGACAAGAUAUUCUUGAGUGUCUUUUGGAAAGAACUCUUCAAGCUACAAGGAACAGCCUUAUGCAAGAGCACCGCGUAUCAUCCUCAAUCGGAUGGACAAACGGAGGUUGUGAAUAAAUGUCUGGAAACCUACCUUCGCUGCUUCAUUAAUGGGAAACCGAAGAGUUGGGCGAAGUGGAUUUCGUGGGCAGAAUACUGGUAUAAUUCCUCUUAUCAUGUAUCUACAGGCUUUACCCCGUUCAAGGCUCUGUACGGGCGUGAUCCACCUACUCUGACUCGCCUUUCCAGAGACCAAACUGCAGUCUCAACAUUGGAGGAUCAGCUGCUUGAACGUGAUGCUGUGUUGGAUGAUUUGAAGGCUAAUUUGAUUAAGGCCCAACAGAGAAUGAAAUAUCAGGAAGAUAGCUCAAGACGGGACCUAGAAUUUGCAGUGGGUGAGAAAGUGUUUCUCAAACUUCAACCAUAUCGACAACAGACGGUGCACCAACGUUCCUGUAACAAGUUAGCAGCCAAGUUUUAUGGGCCCUUUACUAUUUUGCAGCGGGUUGGUAAGGUGGCAUACCGCCUCCAGUUACCAGAAUCUUCUAAAAUCCAUCCCGUGUUCCACAUCUCGCAACUGAAGAAAGCCGUGGGAGCCUUUGUGGUGGCAACUACACUUCCCAGGCUUUUGAAUGAUUCCUUACUGGCCGUGGGUACUCCAGAAAAGGUGCUGGGGAUAAGGCAUAUGUCUGCAGACCGAACAGGAGAGGUUGAAGUGCUGAUCAAAUGGGAAGGGCUGCCGGAGUAUGAUUCUACCUGGGAAGCAUUUGUUACUUUUGAUCAGAUGUUCCCGGACUUUCACCUUGAGGACAAGGUGGCUCUUUGGGCCCGUGGUGANAGCUAUAAUGAAUUAAAAGGAACAACAUAAAGAGUGAAACAUGUGAAUUUGCAUUUCAACUAUUAUAUGUUAAUUCAAGGUGUUUCUACGCAUCAAAGAUGCAAAAUGAAGUCAACGGAAUGUUUUAUAGCCAUUUGUGCCCCAGAGCUUGGGUCCUUAGGCUGUCACAUAUACGGCCCUAGGUUCCAAGUUACCUUCUUCCUCAAAGAAAGCAAACAAAAUUUCAAACAACCAAAUGCUCUUCACUAUCCUAGUUAUCAUGAAUCCAUAAAUUCAAGUGAUCAACACUACACCACAAACUCAUUAAACACUGAAGUAACAACAUAGAAAUAUUGAGAUCUCUGCAAGGGACCAGCCCAAAACUUAUGCUAGGAGGCCCAAACCCGAUAAGGGCAAGAAUGUAAUUGACUAAUCUAAAGAAGGAGCUGGAUAAUAGAGGAGGAAUUAGGGAUAUGUUUUUUUAUGUCUUUUGUGUAAUGAAAC